UGAACGCUGGCGGUAGGCCUAACACAUGCACGUCGCACGGCAGCACAGUAAGAGCUUGCUCUUACGGGUGGCGAGUGGCGGACGGGUGUGGAAUACAUCGGAAUCUACUUUUUCGUGGGGGAUAACGUAGGGAAACUUACGCUACUACCGCAUACGACCUACGGGUGAAAGCAGGGGAUCUUCGGACCUUGCGCGAUUGAAUGAGCCGAUGUCGGAUUAGCUAGUUGGCGGGGUAAAGGCCCACCAAGGCGACGAUCCGUAGCUGGUCUGAGAGGAUGAUCAGCCACACUGGAACUGAGACACGGUCCAGACUCCUACGGGAGGCAGCAGUGGGGAAUAUUGGACAAUGGGCGCAAGCCUGAUCCAGCCAUACCGCGUGGGUGAAGAAGGCCUUCGGGUUGUAAAGCCCUUUUGUUGGGAAAGAAAAGCAGCAGGUUAAUACCCCGCUGUUCUGACGGUACCCAAAGAAUAAGCACCGGCUAACUUCGUG
This 490-nucleotide ribosomal RNA is filed under the name uncultured bacterium. Its description in RNAcentral is "partial 16S ribosomal RNA". It matches the Rfam family "Bacterial small subunit ribosomal RNA", at positions 30 to 507 of the family's 1533-position model. The record is from RNAcentral.